ACUGCUCAGUAACACGUGGAUAACCUGCCCAAGGGUCUGGGAUAACCCCGGGAAACUGGGGAUAAUACCGGAUGGAUCACUAGUGCUGGAAUGCUUGGUGGUUUAAAGGUAACGCCUUUGGAUGGGUCUGCGGCGGAUUAGGUUGACGCCGGUGUAACGUACCGGCGUGCCUGUAAUCCGUACGGGUUGUGGGAGCAAGAGCCCGGAGAUGGAUUCUGAGACACGAAUCCAGGCCCUACGGGGCGCAGCAGGCGCGAAAACUCUACAAUGCAGGCAACUGCGAUAGGGGGACAUCGAGUGGCAUCCACCUUGGGUGCCUGUCCAACCGUCUAAAAAACGGUUGUUAGCAAGGGCCGGGUAAGACCGGUGCCAGCCGCCGCAGUAAUACCGGCGGCUCGAGUGGUGGCCGAUAUUAUUGAGUCUAAAGGGUCCGUAGCCGGCUUUGCAAGUCCCCUGGGAAAUCCAGCGGCUUAACCGUUGGGCUUUCAUGGGAUACUACAUUGCUUGGGACUGGGAGAGGUAGGAGGUACUCGGGGGGUAGGGGUGAAAUCCUGUAAUCCUCCGGGGACCACCGGUGGCGAAGGCGUCCUACCAGAACAGGUCCGACGGUGAGGGACGAAAGCUAGGGGCACGAACCGGAUUGGAUACCCGGGUAGUCCUAGCCGUAAACGAUGCCCGCUAGGUGUCACGACAGUCGUGAAUCGUCGUGGUGCCGUAGGGAAGCCGCGAAGCGGGCCACUUGGGAAGUACGGCCGCAAGGCUGAAACUUAAAGGAAUUGGCGGGGGAGCACA
RNAcentral lists this ribosomal RNA (792 nucleotides) under uncultured archaeon. RNAcentral's name for it is "bacterial SSU rRNA". It matches the Rfam family "Archaeal small subunit ribosomal RNA", at positions 85 to 880 of the family's 1478-position model. The record is from RNAcentral.